CACUUGGCUCUCUUCAGAGCCACUGAAGAGAAAUAGGCAAUUCUAG
Nipponia nippon (crested ibis) is the source of this 46-nucleotide non-coding RNA. The record is from Rfam. Lineage: Eukaryota; Metazoa; Chordata; Aves; Pelecaniformes; Threskiornithidae.